This 661-nucleotide long non-coding RNA is filed under the name Phasianus colchicus (ring-necked pheasant). Its description in RNAcentral is "lncRNA (ENSPCLG00000006990.1)". Lineage: Eukaryota; Metazoa; Chordata; Aves; Galliformes; Phasianidae. The record is from RNAcentral.
UGCUUUUUUGCUACCUUUUGGAAUUACCAGCCUGGGAAAAGAACUGUACUACUGUUUGAAUUGGGAAUUUCCUGCCUCAGUGGCACCUCUCUCCUUGAAGUUUCAGCACACGUUAAUGUUUGCAAGACCUGCAAGGACUUUGGAUGACCUUGUGCUGCCUAAUCCCGUGCAGGGUAACCUACCUCUCAGUUGACGUUACGUUGGGCUCAUUUGCUCUCUGGACCCAAGCACUUGGCUUUUGGCUACAGAACUUGAAGUAUGAAGGUCUCCCUAAAGAGCAAGCUGGUUGCUUCUUACCCCGAGACAAACGAAGCAAGUGGAAACGUUCUCACAAUGUUAUCUGGCCCACAAGAUUGGAACUAGAUUUUCAGGGCAUCAAAACCAGUUAAUGAAAAAUGGUUUGGUUUGUGAUUUUCUUCAGGUUUCAGAGUUUAAAUGCAUGUGCUUGACUCUAUUGUAAGCUCACGAGGAUCGUGCUGUCUUUGACAGGCUUCCUUGCCCAGCUGACACUAAGGGCUUUGCUGGGUCCACAGUGCAUGUGAACAACGGCUGUGAGAUGAUGGCAGGCACGUGGCUGGACAAAGCUUUCAAACAAAGGCACGAUUUCAUUUGAGAAGAUGGUGCCUGCAGUCAUGGCACAGGCACUUGUCAUCAACAGGGA